AUACGAAGGGAGCUAGCGUUAUUCGGAAUCACUGGGCGUAAAGCGCGUGUAGGCGGCUUGGAAAGUCAGGUGUGAAAGCCCGGGGCUCAACCCCGGAACUGCAUUUGAAACUAUCAGGCUAGUAUCAGCUAGAGGGUGGUGGAAUUCCACGUGUAGAGGUGAAAUUCGUAGAUAUGUGGAGGAACACCAGUGGCGAAGGCGACCACCUGGGGCUGUAUAGACGCUGAGACGCGAAAGCGUGGGGAGCAAACAGGAUUAGAAACCCGAGUAGUCC
This 274-nucleotide ribosomal RNA is filed under the name uncultured bacterium. Its description in RNAcentral is "partial 16S ribosomal RNA". It matches the Rfam family "Bacterial small subunit ribosomal RNA", at positions 523 to 796 of the family's 1533-position model. The record is from RNAcentral.